This is a long non-coding RNA of Falco peregrinus (peregrine falcon), 2348 nucleotides long. RefSeq lists it as uncharacterized. The transcript has 4 exons. Lineage: Eukaryota; Metazoa; Chordata; Aves; Falconiformes; Falconidae. The record is from RefSeq and is a predicted model, not a curated record.
CCGCCGGGCCUGCCCGCCUGAGCUGGCUUUAGGCGGCCGCCGGCGGCGCUUCCCUGUCGGUCCCGCUGAAGGAGCGGCCGCGUGGGCUGGCGGCACGGCCACCUCUCCGCUCGGCCGCGGGGCCUCCGGCCCGGUCCCACACGGGCCCGGUGGUGUUUCCCGGUGGGCGGCCGCGCUGGCGGGGCUGGGGGCAGCUCCCUCCCCGGCCGGGCGGCGGUGGGGAUCGCUCGCUGCUCAGGCCAGGUCGCGCCUGAGGCGCAGCGGGGUCCUGCGUGCCGUGCGGGCGGGGCCCCGGCCUCUGGCAGGUGAGCCAUGCUAGGCCCUUAAAGAAACCGCUUCUCACUGUUUGAAAGUGCAUAUAUAUACAACUAUGUAUUUUUUUUUUUUUAAAGAGUUACAGCGUUGCUCCUGCAAGGCCUUGCCGGGUCGGUGUCCCGUGAGGCUUGGCAGCAGCGCAGGGAGGGCCGCAGAGCGCUGCCUCCCGCCGGAGCCAUGCGGCCGGGCCCUUUGUGCCUCCUCUCGCUCCCUGUGCCAGGUGGCACAUCCAGCUGGGCGAGAAGCCUGCGGCCUGGGCACGGUAUGGGUUGAUGGCCUCAGCCCCUGGCGGGUGCCCCGUGGCCGCAGGGCUGGGACCAGGCCUCGCUGGAGGCACACGGCGUUUUGCUGCGGCCCUGCGUGGGGCAGGGCUGGCCUGGCCUGGCCACCCUUGGAGGGGACGCUGGUUCUGUACUUUCCAGCCCUGCCCCUUGCUGGUAGGUGUGCGUUGGUGGUCACCGCAUGGGCGAUGCCAUGUUCAGCCGAGCUGUUCCCUCUACCUGAGAUCUGACCGCAGCAUUUACUGCCCCAUAUGUGACCUGCUUUUGUGUUGGCAAGGUGGAAGUCUCACAUGGCCAUAAAGCCUAAGCCUGUAAGGGUGCAUAACCUGUUAUUUCUGCCUGCCGCCCUUUAAUUUCUAUCUGUCUUGCUGCCUUGUGCUCUACUGUGGAGCUACUUGUGCUCUACCCGUAUGUCAGUGGUGGUUCUCUGGACUUCUGCAGUUUCCCCUGUCCCAUGAGCCCACUGAGCAUGCCAACCAUCCAGCUCUUUCAAGGGAAGGAUUUGCAUGAAUUGCUGCCCAUGGGUGUAAUGGGGGAGGUGGGAAUGUGGUGCAGCUGCUGUGAGUGUGCAGCCACCAAAGCCCUGGGCCUCGCUGGUGUAAGUGAUGACUGAACUUUUUUCCCCAUCAGAGCGACAGUGUUGAUUUCUUACUGUUCAAGCCAGGUCACAUCUGAUGCACCAGCAGGGGAGUGCUGCUGUGUCCCACACUCCAGCAGGGCCUGGUGCUAACUGUUGUUCCCUUUGGUUUUACUCACAGCGUUCUGCAGAGGCAGUGGGGGUGUUGAGCCCCUGGGAGGCCUGAUGUGAUGGCUGUAGCUGAUGGAAAUAAGUAUGUGAUGAGGGCAUUUGCCUGGUUUGCUCCACCAUGCUUGAGCCUUCAGCAAGUAAAAAUGCAUUCUGCAGAGGCAGUGGGGGUGUUGAGCCCCUGGGAGGCCUGAUGUGAUGGCUGUAGCUGAUGGAAAUAAGUAUGUGAUGAGGGCAUUUGCCUGGUUUGCUCCACCAUGCCUGAACCUUCAGCAAGUAAAAAUGCAUUCUGCAGAGGCAGUGGGGGUGUUGAGCCCCUGGGAGGCCUGAUGUGAUGGCUGUAGCUGGCAGAGAUAACUCUGAGGUGCCUGGUUUGCUCCACUAUAUGUGUUCCUUGGACAAGGCUGUAAUGGUUGAGAUUUGUCAGAAGUUGUCCUGGGACCUGCUGUGAUUUCAGUGUACUAGCAGAAAGCUGUCUUCUGCUAAUGAUGUCCCUCUCCAUGCUGCUGCCUGUGAUCGUGAUCCCUUGUCCAAGCUACAGCAUUCACAUCACCCUGCAACAGCUCUGGUCUAUCCUCAGAGCUAGCAGGAGUGAUAAAUGUGUCCUGCCAGCUUAAGGGCGAAGGGUGUUAAAUUUUUCUUUCCCUUGGUAUGAGGCGUUUAACUGCAAUGGAUUCUGGAACUUGCCGCAUGUUUAAUGUAAUUGGAUGUUUUUGUCUGCAAGGGCUGCAUUCAUCACAACAGCUGUUGUUAUCCUACCAGGAUUAUUAAAAACAAGGAAUGCUCUCUUUGAAGAGCAAUUGUCAAGUAUGGGAGGAUGGCCUUCUGUGUAAGGAGGGGGUGGGAUUCAAGUCUUGGCUCUCCCCUGUUACCUGGAAAGGUUUGGAAAUAUAUUAUUGGCAGCCUGUGAAGUGGGGAAGGGGUGUCUUUGAUGCUGCAGCGCAGUGUACAUUUCUGUACUGUUUAGAGCCUAUUUUUAAUAAAAUAAGAGUACUGGGUAGAACUUG